This 1069-nucleotide ribosomal RNA is filed under the name human gut metagenome. RNAcentral describes it as "bacterial LSU rRNA". It matches the Rfam family "Bacterial large subunit ribosomal RNA", at positions 826 to 1980 of the family's 2925-position model. The record is from RNAcentral.
AUUCCAAUCGAACUCGGAGAUAGCUGGUUCUCCCCGAAAUAGCUUUAGGGCUAGCGUUAUUUUAGAUUACCGGAGGUAAAGCACUGAAUGGUCUAGGGGCCGCGAGGUUACCAAAGCCUAUCAAACUCUGAAUGCCGGAUAAUUGAUGAAUAGCAGUCAGACUGUGUGAGAUAAGUCUCAUAGUCAAAAGGGAAACAGCCCAGAUCUACAGCUAAGGUCCCAAAUGAACACUAAGUGGAAAAUGAUGUGAAACUGCGAAGACAACCAGGAUGUUGGCUUAGAAGCAGCCACUCAUUCAAAGAGUGCGUAAUAGCUCACUGGUCGAGUGGUUUUGCGCAGAAAAUGUAACGGGGCUAAGUGUUCAACCGAAGCUUAGGCAUUGUACUUUGUACAUUGGGUAGGGGAGCGUCGUAUGCGGGGCGAAGUCAGAGCGGAAGCACUGGUGGACUGCAUACGAGUGAGAAUGCCGGAAUAAGUAGCGAGAAUUAUGUGAGAAUCAUAAUGGCCGAAAAUCUAAGGUUUCCUGGGGAAGGUUCGUCCGCCCAGGGUUAGUCGGGAGCUAAGCUCAGGCCGAGAGGCGUAGGCGAUGCACAUACGGUAGAAAUUCCGUAACCACCGAAACUUAAGUCAGAGGGACACUUCAGGAUAGCGGAACCGCGGCGUUGGUAGACCGCGGCGAAAGGGACUGAAAUAUAGUAGGGAAGUCCGCGAUGCUCGGAGGCGAGAAAAGCUCUAAGGUAUGCUAAGGUGCCCGUACCGCAAACCGACACAGGUAGAUGAGGAGAGAAUCCUAAGGCCAACGGGAGAAGGGUUGUUAAGGAACUCGGCAAAUUGACCCCGUAACUUCGGGAGAAGGGGUGCUCCAGAGAUGGAGCCGCAGAGAAUCGGCCCAAGCAACUGUUUACCAAAAACACAGGUUUGUGCUAAAUCGAAAGAUGACGUAUACGAGCUGACGCCUGCCCGGUGCUGGAAGGUUAAGAGGAGAUGUGCAAGCAUUGAAUCGAAGCCCCAGUGAACGGCGGCCGUAACUAUAACGGUCCUAAGGUAGCGAAAUUCCUUGUCAGGUAAG